GCUGCCCUAACGCUGCUGGCUUUGGCACCACUCCAAAAUGUUGCCCUAGAAGCACCCUCUAUAAAACCUCAUAUCUCUGACCUGCACUCUCAUUGCCUCCCUUUUCCUUCUCCUCCUUUGCAGUAACCAAUAAGGUCUCUGGGUUUUGUGUAUUCUUUUUCAAAGCUUUUAAGUGCCUUCACUCCUCUCAUACGUUUUAUGAAAGUGCAAAAAACUUCCAUCCGCUUGUGAUAAAGACAAGUUGAGCAAAGCGGCCAUAUUUUGCACAGAUUGAGUAAACAAAGUAGUCAAUAUUCUACUUGUGCUUUUUUAUCUAAAUGGGUUUAUGUUGUCUUUCGGACAUAUAUGUAAACCUAUUUGUGAUUAUAGCAAACACCUGUUACAUUUCAUAUUUUAAUACCUUUUCUAUUGAACUCGUUGAAACUUUUGGGAGGGAGGCAGAUUCUAUUUUUGGAAGGUGGGACAAAGGGAAAAUUUGAUCUCCUUUUUUACAAAAGAGGGCUAUUUUACUCAAAUAACCUAAAAAUAAUUAAUUACAUAAAUAAUCCUAAUUAAAAAAUAAUCAUUUAAAUAACUUGAAAUGAUCAAUAAAUUGGGUUAUGGGAAUUAGAUAGUUGAUGUUAUUAUUUUUCUGUCAAAAAAUAAUUUUUAGAGUUUUGGACACUAGAUGGUUGAUAUUCAUGUGUUUUUUUUUUAAAUUUUAAGAGUUGACACAUUGAUGAUCGGCACUCCUUUAUCUAAUUAAAAAAAGCUUAUUUUUUUGAGGUGUUAGUGUCAACCAACAAAGGCCUAAACUCACUCAACAAAAGGGAUGAGAAUAUUGCAACAUUGCAAUAAUCUCAACUCUUUUGUUAGGUGAGUUUAGGCACCUUACACUCAAAAAUAUAAUUUUUUAAUCAGGUAAAGGGGUGUCGGCCAUUAGUGUAUCAACACCUAUUUUUUUUAAAUACAUGAGUAUCGGCUAUUUAGUAUUCAAAACCCUAAAAAUUAUUUUUAAUAAAAAGUGGUGUCAAUUAUUUAAUUCUCAUAAAAUAAUUUUACUGUUCAUUUUAAGUUAUUUAGGUGAUUAUUUUUGAAUCAGAGUCAUUUACUAAUUAAUUAUUUUUUUAACUAUUUGGGUAAAAGAACCGCAAAAGAGGAGUACUUCUCCUCUAAUUACUUAAAAGAUAAUAUUGCAAAAGAUUUUUUAUUGGAAGGGAUGCAUGGCAAGAAAGGAAAAUGGGUCCAACUUUUGUAAGCUUUAUUUUUAUAUUAAUGUUAAUGGUGUACAGUAGUCAGGGUUCAUCCUUAUCUCAUUACUAAAAUAGGUAAAAAGGUGUUAUGAUUUGUGUAUUUUUAACACUUCAAAUUUGGCUUUUACCAUAAUAAUUAUUUGAUACACUUUUACUAAAAUAUUUUAGACUUUAUAAAUAUUAAAUUUUUUAUUUUAUAAUAUAUUUGUCAAAUUUUUAUGAAAAAAAGUUAUUGGUAUAUCAUAUAAUUUUGAUAAAAAACAAAAAGUUGGAUGCAAGCACUUAACCAAAAAGCUUAUGAAAACAGAAUUGGAAAAACCUAUGGGCUUAAAUUAAUAAAAUAGAUUCUUACAAAUAAAUUGUAAAAUAAAUGUGCUUAAACAUUAAAAAAAAUAUGAAAGUAGAAAUUUUUUUAGUUUGAUUUUAAUAUUUCGAUUUUAUUAAUAUUUUAAUAUUUAAAUUAUACUCGUUUUCUAUAUAGGUAAUUAAAUGCUUUUCUUUAAUUUUUAAGUUCAAAUACCUAACUCUAGUUUUCUACCAAUAUGUGUUCAGGUCAGAUAUAUAAAUAAAAUAUUAUAAAUGUAAUUUUUUUAUCAAUCUCUUCAAUGGGUAUUUCCUUGUUGCUAAUAUUCAUUCCUUGGCUGAGAUUAGUAUUAUCAGCGGUACUUGAAUGGACUACUUUGGUUGAGUAACAAAAACAAGAACUAUUCAACACCGGAGAAGUAGUCGAAAAAUUUAUAGAUAUAGAAGAAAAUGCACUUCCGCACUAGUUAUUAUUUUGGAGAGAUAGAAAAUGUGGAACUCUAAAGCUGUAAAUGCAAGUUGGUAUUCUGGAACUCGGAUAAGCCAUGUAGAAGGUGAGUUCAUCGGAGUUGGAUAUAUCAAAGCUGGAAUUCGACUUAUACCCAAAUCGAGAGUGAUAUGGUCGAUAUCUAGGAUGUUUGCUCGAGUUGAGGGAUUCCUCGAUCUUGGCUUGAUUGAGGCUUCUCAACCUUUCCUUCUGUUCUAGCUCUUUCAGGGCCAAUUGAAGAGGGUCUUGGGAAAGACCCCUAGUAAAAAUUUGAGAA
This 2299-nucleotide long non-coding RNA is filed under the name Gossypium raimondii (Peruvian cotton). Its description in RNAcentral is "long non-coding RNA (GRAI_LNC005471)". Lineage: Eukaryota; Viridiplantae; Streptophyta; Magnoliopsida; Malvales; Malvaceae. The record is from RNAcentral.